AUGCAACGCUUCUUUUUCAGUGGCUCAGCCAUCGGGGAUGUCAAUGACACAGAAAAAGCAGCUGCAUACAGAUCCAAGGAGACCCGCCAUAUGGCUGGGGAGCACUAUGAUCUGAAUUUUGUGAAGUCAGCCAUCAGGCAUCUAUCAGUGUACGGUGAGGUUGUUUCUACCACGGUGCUUAUCCAUCUGAUGGUUCUCAUACUUUGGAUGCUAUGGUAUCCAAGUCGUCCACAAGUUCAGAUAUGGCUGUUGAGGUUCAUGACUGAACGCACAUCCACAGUUGCUCCUAAGCUUAAGCUGUAA
This 303-nucleotide ribosomal RNA is filed under the name Triticum aestivum (bread wheat). Its description in RNAcentral is "partial small subunit ribosomal RNA". Lineage: Eukaryota; Viridiplantae; Streptophyta; Magnoliopsida; Poales; Poaceae. The record is from RNAcentral.